GAUGAACGCUGGCGGCGUGCCUAAUACAUGCAAGUCGAGCGAACAGACGGGGAGCUUGCUCCUCUGACGUUAGCGGCGGACGGGUGAGUAACACGUGGAUAACCUACCUAUAAGACUGGGAUAACUUCGGGAAACCGGAGCUAAUACCGGAUAAUAUAUUGAACCGCAUGGUUCAAUAGUGAAAGACGGUUUUGCUGUCAUUUAUAGAUGGAUCCGCGCCGCAUUAGCUAGUUGGUAAGGUAACGGCUUACCAAGGCAACGAUGCGUAGCCGACCUGAGAGGGUGAUCGGCCACACUGGAACUGAGACACGGUCCAGACUCCUACGGGAGGCAGCAGUAGGGAAUCUUCCGCAAAGGGCGAAAGCUUGACGGAGCAACGCCGCGUGAGUGAUGAAGGUCUUCGGAUCGUAAAACUCUGUUAUUAGGGAAGAACAAAUGUGUAAGUAACUAUGCACGUCUUGACGGUACCUAAUCAGAAAGCCACGGCUAACUACGUG
This 497-nucleotide ribosomal RNA is filed under the name uncultured bacterium. RNAcentral describes it as "partial 16S ribosomal RNA". It matches the Rfam family "Bacterial small subunit ribosomal RNA", at positions 28 to 507 of the family's 1533-position model. The record is from RNAcentral.